This is a non-coding RNA of Taeniopygia guttata (zebra finch), 1538 nucleotides long. The record is from RefSeq and is a predicted model, not a curated record. NCBI's taxonomy places the organism in Eukaryota, Metazoa, Chordata, Aves, Passeriformes, Estrildidae.
UUUUUUAUCCCCAAACUGUCAUCUAGGAAACAAUUUUUUAAUUUUUUUGACCAAUAGCGUAGGAUUUAUAAGAAAGGAAUCCAAAGCUAUCCUGUGACUGUGAUUCACUUUCCUGAGCGUAUUACCAUGAAAACUGUAAAUGAUGCAAUAGGCUGCAUGCUAGUCAAAGGUUCAUCAUAGAGUCCACUAAGUAAUUCAUAUUCCCAGGUCUGCAUUUUACAGUAAAUGGAAGCAAGGAUCUAUGAGAAACAUGCUGCUGGGAAAGAAAAAACAAAAAGAAACCAAAAGGAGUGUUAAUCAGUGUUGCACAGCAUUAUCUGGAGAAUUGAUGACAGACUCACAUUUGCUGUUUUGUUUUCCAUUAUGAAAAACCACAAAGGAAAAGCUAUGUAGCGAACUGCUUUGGCUUGCCAUUUGUUAAAAUGAAUGCAGAUUCCUCUGCUGUACAGGGGCCAUAUCUGCAAUUAAAGAAAAACCCCAUAAAUAUUCCUGAAGCAUACUAAGAAAUUCCCCUGAAGGGGGAGGUUCCAAGAACUUCAGAAGGAAGGCAUUGCCUCUCUUCAGUUCUAACUGCAAAGAAAAGAGAAGUUUUGAUACCCUUCAGCAAGAGAAUGUGAUCAACAAGGAUGCAACAAGCAACAGUUUAUUUGUAGAAAAAUCCUUUAAAAUUUACUACAAUGUAAGAUUAAGGAAAAAAUAGUCUUAAUGUAUAUACAUACAAUAUAUAUAAACAAACACAUAUCGCACCAUGAAAAUUACAUGCUUUUUAGAACAGAGAAUGGAUAUUAUUCCCUCAUAUCAAUUUAAAAGUUGUCACUGCAAGAAACCUUGCUUCCUUUUUUUUAUCCCCAUCAAAGUUUUCAAGUACAGGAAGUAAGUAAUGCAGGAUCUCUAAUAGUAGAAAACCUUUGUUAUACACAAAUUACAACUGACAGCUAGACAAUAUUAUUCUGCAGUAUCCAACACUUGUAUUUUUUUAACUCUAUUAUAAUGAUAUGAACUUUUACCUGAGGUGCAUGGAAAUAACGAAGCAUGAUAAUUGGCAAGUUUAAGAGAUUUUCACAUUAUGAUUUUACUGUAAUUGAAGUUGAUUAGGUGUCACACCUAUACCUAUAGUACUGGCACAAGAAUGCUCUGCAUGAGUCAUCACCAAUGACUUAGAAGUGCAGGAAAAAUUAACAGGCAAGCACCACUUGCAAUGAUAAGCAUGCAGACAAUUUGAGUGAAACAGAGGUAGCAUGUUCUUGUAACUCCAGCAGGGUCAAUCAAAUCAACUGCACCCUCCCUCCUGCAAAAGGCACUCACUUUUUCAGCUAAAAACGAUGCACUUAAGUUUGGUCAGAUUGACCGCAAAUGGUGGAUUUCUCUUGUACAAAUAUAAAAAGAUGUUAAGCAGAGGACACAGUGAAAAGGAAAAAAAAAAAGAGUGUAAGAAACAGACAUAUAAGGUACUAUGUGCUAUUUCUCUCCCCCUAGCUCUUAUAUGGAGAAUUAUAUAAAACAGUUGCAGUACGUAAUCCAAAAGUUAAGACUUUCCA